CAAGUUAGAGCUUGAAUAAGCAUUUCAUUUACAUUGAGGGGAUUUCUGUUAAAUUCAGUUAACUUGA
RNAcentral lists this transfer RNA (67 nucleotides) under Histeroidea sp. 1 KM-2017. RNAcentral's name for it is "tRNA-Val". Lineage: Eukaryota; Metazoa; Arthropoda; Insecta; Coleoptera. The record is from RNAcentral.